RNAcentral lists this ribosomal RNA (253 nucleotides) under uncultured bacterium. Its description in RNAcentral is "partial 16S ribosomal RNA". It matches the Rfam family "Bacterial small subunit ribosomal RNA", at positions 524 to 776 of the family's 1533-position model. The record is from RNAcentral.
UCCGGAGGGGGCUAUCGUUGUUCGGAAUUACUGGGCGUAAAGCGCACGUAGGCGGACUGUUAAGUCGGGGGUGAAAUCCCGGGGCUCAACCCCGGAAUGGCCUUCGAUACUGGCGGUCUUGAGGUCUGGAGAGGUGAGUGGAAUUCCGAGUGUAGAGGUGAAAUUCGUAGAUAUUCGGAGGAACACCAGUGGCGAAGGCGGCUCACUGGCCAGAUACUGACGCUGAGGUGCGAAAGCGUGGGGAGAAAACAGG